UAUUAAUGAAAAGAGGUGAGAUGACAUGUUUCUUUUGAAUGCGCGAACUAGUAUAGCUAAAUUUUUGUAUAUUGUCCGUGCAAUUUUUUCCGGUAUUGCAGUUACAUUGGCGAAGUCUGCCCAAAAAACUGUAUAACGAGAAAAAAUGAGAGAAGCAUGGAGUCACGCAAUCGGUUUGUAUAGUGCUAAAUUAGUAUUAUACUUAUAAUUGGCGUCGGGCGCUUGUCUGACGCUUUUUU
Listeria monocytogenes EGD-e is the source of this 239-nucleotide small RNA. It matches the Rfam family "Listeria sRNA rliI". The record is from Rfam. NCBI's taxonomy places the organism in Bacteria, Bacillati, Bacillota, Bacilli, Caryophanales, Listeriaceae.